AGAGUUUGAUCAUGGCUCAGAACGAACGCUGGCGGCAGGCCUAACACAUGCAAGUCGAGCGCUACCUUCGGGUGGAGCGGCGGACGGGUUAGUAACGCGUGGGAACAUACCCUUUUCUACGGAAUAGCCUCGGGAAACUGAGAGUAAUACCGUAUAAGCCCUUCGGGGGAAAGAUUUAUCGGGAAAGGAUUGGCCCGCGUUAGAUUAGAUAGUUGGUGGGGUAAUGGCCUACCAAGUCUACGAUCUAUAGCUGGUUUUAGAGGAUGAUCAGCAACACUGGGACUGAGACACGGCCCAGACUCCUACGGGAGGCAGCAGUGGGGAAUCUUAGACAAUGGGCGAAAGCCUGAUCUAGCCAUGCCGCGUGAGUGAUGAAGGUCUUAGGAUCGUAAAGCUCUUUCGCUAGGGAUGAUAAUGACAGUACCUAGUAAAGAAGCCCCGGCUAACUCCGUGCCAGCAGCCGCGGUAAUACGGAGGGGGCUAGCGUUGUUCGGAAUUACUGGGCGUAAAGCGUACGUAGGCGGAUCAGAAAGUAUGGGGUGAAAUCCCAGGGCUCAA
Molecule: ribosomal RNA, 558 nt
Filed under: uncultured bacterium
Lineage: Bacteria
Description: bacterial SSU rRNA
Rfam family: Bacterial small subunit ribosomal RNA
Source: RNAcentral